RNAcentral lists this transfer RNA (70 nucleotides) under Polychrus marmoratus (common monkey lizard). Its description in RNAcentral is "tRNA-Ile". The record is from RNAcentral. Lineage: Eukaryota; Metazoa; Chordata; Lepidosauria; Squamata; Polychrotidae.
GGAAAUGUGCCCGAACAAAGGGGUUACUUUGAUAGAGUAAAACAUAGGAGUUUAAACCCCCUCAUUUCCU